UCCCAAGUCAGAAGCACAAUGUCGAGA
Molecule: non-coding RNA, 27 nt
Filed under: Bombyx mori (domestic silkworm)
Lineage: Eukaryota; Metazoa; Arthropoda; Insecta; Lepidoptera; Bombycidae
Source: RNAcentral